AACGAACGCUGGCGGCAUGCCUAACACAUGCAAGUCGAACGAGACCUUCGGGUCUAGUGGCGCACGGGUGCGUAACGCGUGGGAACCUGCCCUUAGGUUCGGAAUAACUCCCCGAAAGGGGUGCUAAUACCGGAUAAUGUCUUCGGACCAAAGAUUUAUCGCCUUUGGAUGGGCCCGCGUUGGAUUAGCUAGUUGGUAGGGUAAAAGCCUACCAAGGCGACGAUCCAUAGCUGGUCUGAGAGGAUGAUCAGCCCCACUGGGACUGAGACACGGCCCAGACUCCUACGGGAGGCAGCAGUGGGGAAUAUUGGACAAUGGGCGAAAGCCUGAUCCGGCAAUGCCGCGUGAGUGAUGAAGGCCUUAGGGUUGUAAAGCUCUUUUAACCGGGAUGAUAAUGACAGUACCGGGAGAAUAAGCGCCGGCUAACUCCGUG
RNAcentral lists this ribosomal RNA (433 nucleotides) under uncultured bacterium. RNAcentral describes it as "partial 16S ribosomal RNA". It matches the Rfam family "Bacterial small subunit ribosomal RNA", at positions 29 to 507 of the family's 1533-position model. The record is from RNAcentral.